UCAAGUAAAAGUGGAAUCUCUGUCAAUGUGAAUCAGAAUCACUUCUCAGCAACACAGCAGCCUUCAGUCCUUGCUGACAGAUUCCUUCUAAGCUGCACGGGGGCAACCAUGCAGAAAAAGCAAAAUCCUACCUUCAGCCAGGGAGUUUACAAGUUGACCAGCAAAGCUGCCAAGUUUAAAUGAGGCCCUUUGCAGCAGCAGAUCUUGGAAGCCAUUCAACAAGUCAAGACCCAGGCACCACCUUGAAAACCUUGAGUCUGCUACCUUGAUGGAAUUACUGGAUGUGACAGCAGAGACCUGGAAGAAAAAUGCCUUGAUUUGGCUGUGUAAGCUGCAGCCACUGCAGGUAACCUGAAGAAAUGCUGAAUCUGCUGUCCUGGACGUCAUUCUGUCCCAGAUCACAGACACCUUUACAUCCUGCCAGUGGUGAACUACACCAGCAUUCCCAAUACUACAGUGCGCGUCUAUAGAAGCUGAGCCCUGGAUUAUCAAGUGAAGACCUGAUACUUGCCACAUGGGAGGGAGCCAGAGGGACCCUGUUUUAAUUUAGCUGGUCUAAGGUGGCACAAUGUCACAACCACAACUAACAAAACCUUGGCGGGAUGGUAUUUUGACACAGCCAGUCUUCUUUUGUCCCUUGCUACCUAUCAGUAGGCAAUAAAACCACUUCAUGUAAUGUUGUGUGUACAGGUAUACUGCCUCACCAGAUUCAGACAGGUCAGUAACCAGUGCACAGUGAACCUGCUUCACACAGCCCUAGGACAAUGGGUACUAUGAUCAGCAUUACCACUUUAUAGAUGAGGAACUGAGGCACAGAGAAGUAAAUCAUAUAGCUAGUAAGUGGCAGAAUCAGAAUGUGAUCCCAGGCAAUCUGGCCUGUAGAGUCUGUAAUAUUAACGACUAUGCUAUGGAGUCUUUGAUGGAUUAGGGAAAAAAAUUACCGUUGCUCUUCCCAAAAACCUUAUAAUUAAAUGACUCUAAUGAUCAGAUGUGAGCACAACCUUGGAAAAUGUAAUUUUCCAUAAAUUUUAGAUCAUUUGGAAAUAUUGUCCAUUUUCUUUCUUGGCUAACUUUGAUCAUUGAGAACAGCAGCAUAGGAUUUUAAUAUUUAUUUAUUUAUCUGAUAGUAAGCAUUUAUCUAAACUCUUUAUGGAAAUCUUCAAAUCAGUCAUUUCAUUUAUGUAGACAAAAAUGCAGGUGAAAAAUCUAAGUAUGUAUUUAAAUUUACUGAAAAUCAUAUUUUUUCCUUAAGUAAGCCUUUCAUUAUUCCUCUGGAAUUUCUCUUUUCCAUGUAAUGGCUCUUUUGUUGGUAAGAUUUUUCUAUGUUAUUCAUUGACAGCUGCAAAACUGCUUUGCCAAGUUAAAAAUGCAAUCGUAUUUUGAAAGAUACUUGUUUGUUAAACAUAAAAUGAUUUAUUUAGUUGCCUGUUUAUAAUAGUUUUAGAGAAAUAUUACUCUAGGAAUAUAUUUUUAUGUGAAAUGACUAUUAAGAGUUCAUUAUAUUUUUCCAUGUUUAGGAUUCUAUUCUCUCAUUUC
Homo sapiens (human) is the source of this 1536-nucleotide long non-coding RNA. The record is from Ensembl. Lineage: Eukaryota; Metazoa; Chordata; Mammalia; Primates; Hominidae.